This 230-nucleotide long non-coding RNA is filed under the name Elaeis guineensis (African oil palm). Its description in RNAcentral is "long non-coding RNA (EGUI_LNC019617)". The record is from RNAcentral. Lineage: Eukaryota; Viridiplantae; Streptophyta; Magnoliopsida; Arecales; Arecaceae.
CCCCCCUAUAUAUGAUAAAAAGCCUAACCAAAGGAUGCAUCAUCUUCUAGAAGCAAUGUUAGUACCAAUGCUUUGGAGAAGAACUUGAGUUUAUAAAUCAUCUCUUAGUCAACAUGAUUUCACCAUCUAAUUCACAUAGCUGACACUAACAGAUAUUCUCUUGUUCGCGAAGGCGAGUCCUUCCAGAGGGAACCAUGAAAUGUUCUCCCUUACAAAAAUAGUUCAAUGCU